Cygnus olor (mute swan) is the source of this 185-nucleotide long non-coding RNA. RefSeq lists it as uncharacterized. NCBI's taxonomy places the organism in Eukaryota, Metazoa, Chordata, Aves, Anseriformes, Anatidae. The transcript has 3 exons. The record is from RefSeq and is a predicted model, not a curated record.
UAGAAUCAUUAAGGUUGGAAAAGACGUUCAAGAUCAUCUGGUCCAACCAUCGCCCUACUGCCAAUGUCACCCAAUAAACCAUGUCCCUAAGCACCAGGUCCAACCUUUCCUUAAACACCCCCAGGGAUGGUGACACCACCACUUCCCUUGGCAACCCAUUCCAAUUGCUAACCACUCUUUGUGAG